RNAcentral lists this ribosomal RNA (292 nucleotides) under uncultured bacterium. RNAcentral's name for it is "partial 16S ribosomal RNA". It matches the Rfam family "Bacterial small subunit ribosomal RNA", at positions 505 to 796 of the family's 1533-position model. The record is from RNAcentral.
GUGCCAGCAGCCGCGGUAAUACGGAGGGGGUUAGCGUUGUUCGGAAUUACUGGGCGUAAAGCGCACGUAGGCGGAUCAGAAAGUUGGGGGUGAAAUCCCAGGGCUCAACCCUGGAACGGCCUCCAAAACUCCUGGUCUUGAGUUCGAGAGAGGUGAGUGGAAUUCCGAGUGUAGAGGUGAAAUUCGUAGAUAUUCGGAGGAACACCAGUGGCGAAGGCGGCUCACUGGCUCGAUACUGACGCUGAGGUGCGAAAGUGUGGGGAGCAAACAGGAUUAGAAACCCCAGUAGUCC